RNAcentral lists this non-coding RNA (167 nucleotides) under uncultured Ruminococcus sp. RNAcentral's name for it is "Lysine riboswitch". It matches the Rfam family "Lysine riboswitch aptamer". From Rfam's summary of the family: Riboswitches are metabolite binding domains within certain messenger RNAs that serve as precision sensors for their corresponding targets. Allosteric rearrangement of mRNA structure is mediated by ligand binding, and this results in modulation of gene expression. This family includes riboswitches that sense lysine in a number of genes involved in lysine metabolism, including lysC. Lineage: Bacteria; Bacillati; Bacillota; Clostridia; Eubacteriales; Oscillospiraceae. The record is from RNAcentral.
UUAGGUAGAGGUGCGGCUGAGAUCAGUACCCGAAUCCUGUGGGUCACCUGCCUGAGAGGAUUCGGUGAAAGGCGAUGCUGCCGAAGAGCAGUUUUUGGUAAACUCUGCUCUGGUCACAGGUCGAAAAGGCUUGCGACUGUCAUCAUACAAUGAUGGAGAGCUAUCGG